CAGCAGCCGCGGGAAUACGAAGGGUGCAAGCGUUACUCGGAAUUACUGGGCGUAAAGCGUGCGUAGGUGGUGGUUUAAGUCCGUUGUGAAAGCCCUGGGCUCAACCUGGGAAUUGCAGUGGAUACUGGGUCACUAGAGUGUGGUAGAGGAUAGUGGAAUUUCCGGUGUAGCAGUGAAAUGCGUAGAGAUCGGAAGGAACAUCUGUGGCGAAGGCGACUAUCUGGGCCAACACUGACACUGAGGCACGAAAGCGUGGGGAGCAAACAGGAUUAGAUACCCCCGUAGUCCCUGUCUCUUAUAC
This 301-nucleotide ribosomal RNA is filed under the name uncultured bacterium. RNAcentral's name for it is "partial 16S ribosomal RNA". It matches the Rfam family "Bacterial small subunit ribosomal RNA", at positions 509 to 807 of the family's 1533-position model. The record is from RNAcentral.